CUUGGUGACAAUGAGAUAUGGUCCCACCCGUUCCCAUCCCGAACACGGCCGUGAAACGUAUCAUCAGCGAAGAUAGUUGGCGGGUAGCUGCCUGUGAAAAUAGCCCAUUGCCAGGA
RNAcentral lists this ribosomal RNA (116 nucleotides) under Flavobacterium sp. Lineage: Bacteria; Pseudomonadati; Bacteroidota; Flavobacteriia; Flavobacteriales; Flavobacteriaceae. The record is from RNAcentral.